AUGCUUAAGGCCCGACCCAAAGCUCUAUGACUCUUAAGUCUUCUCUCUGAUCUCUACUUUCUACCAUUUCGUUUACCAAUUUUGUGAUUACUCAAUUCCUCGUCAUUUUGAUUUUCCACUAAGCUUCAUCUCUUCCCCUCUUCUCUUCAGCCAUCUCGAGUCCCAACCCGUCCGGCCAUCCUAGAUCAGCAAAUUCCCAUCAGCCAUCGUUGUCUCUCCCAGACGACAGACCCUAGUCAUAGUAGAUUCGCCAAUUCUUCUUUCCCAUCGCAUAUCAUAGUCGAUCUCAAUACCCUUUGGUCGUGCAAAACCAUAGAUUCUGCAUCUCUUUAGCGCCGAGUGACUUCGGCAUCCUGUGACUUCGUCUUUCGAUGACUUUGGCGUGCUUCAUUCUGACUCUCAAGGUAUCCGCCUCCUUCGAAACCCUAGAACUACAUAUUUAAGGAGAGUUGGGGGAGAAGCAGAGAGAGAGAGAAGCGAUCGGCUCUAUUUCCCUAUCAUAUCUCGAGGUGACUUCGCUCUCCUUGGAGGCAAGACUCCAGCACCUCGACGGAGAGCAGCGCGCCAGCGACCGCGCCAAUGCCCGCGCCGCGGAACAGCCCCGUCUCCGUGGUCUGGCCUUUGAGCGCGCCUGAAAUCGACCCUAUCAAGGCUCCACCUGCUCUCCAAGAGUCGAGUUAUUGCCCACCAAAUUAUACUUCAAGAAGAAAGAAUCAAGAUUGAAGAUUGAAUGGGAAACACUGAGAUCUUUGGUUAUUAGAUAGAUGAAUCUCCUUUCUCCAUUACAAACCUUUUGGAAAGACUCUCUUUGUAGUCUGGAAUCCAAUCCCCAUGGAUAUUAUGCCAAAUUAUGCAGUGAAGUUUGAAGUGUUGAAUGAAAGUGGUAUGUAUAGCUUUUCUUUGAGGUGCAAGCUAGUACACAAUGAGUAAAAUAAUUGGUUUUUACAGAAUUCAAAGGUUAGAUACACACAGAGAGAGUUCUUACACAGUGCAAAGGUGCAGGUAAGGCCUGCAAAGGCUACCUUCCUCAACGUAUUCAAGCAAAAUCCAGCUCCAAAACCAGAAAGCUUCCACCAACAGCCAUCCAUUUUUUCAGAUCUUGGAGAAGUAGAGAGCUGCCCUUCUACUCCUCCAAGAAAAAACUCCUCACUUAUAUAGAAACCAAGCGCAAGACAGUGAGACCCAACCAAAGAAAAGAAAAACCAGAGGAAUGCAAGCAGAAGAAAUCAACUGGGAAGCGUGGAAGUAGAAAGGAGCGCAGCCAUGAGCUAUGGACACAGGACGAGACGGUAGAGAGUAGCCCACUACCAGUCUGGUUUUGCGGACUUUCGAGGGGCGUGCCAGAACCUUGGAAACCCCAAAACCAGGUGCCCAAAUCAGUGGGCCGGUGGGGAGGGUGGUACCCGUCGAGAUGGGUCAUUUGCUACUUGCCGCAGAGGGUGCCCAAACAGGAUUGGCUUCUUCAAUGUCACUGAAAAAUUUGGAAUGGGAGUAGGCAGCGGCUGCCUUCACUUGUGGCCGCACUUUUUUCAGAAUGAGUUGUAAAUUGGCUAUAAGACAACAAGGUAGUUGUGCCAAAUGAUGCUGUAAGCCUGAUUCUUUUA
This is a non-coding RNA of Phoenix dactylifera (date palm), 1604 nucleotides long. The record is from RefSeq and is a predicted model, not a curated record. NCBI's taxonomy places the organism in Eukaryota, Viridiplantae, Streptophyta, Magnoliopsida, Arecales, Arecaceae.